CAAAGUCAGGCACAGAAGAAGAGCCUGUAGGCGGGGAGCGCCAGCGUCUUAAUCACUUCUCAGUCUUCCAGGCGAAGCUUCCAGAGGUGGGGAGCAGAACACCUGCAUGUUUGGUCUGGAAAGGACUGAAACCCCUCCAUGAGGCCUCCUGCUCUCCCAUGUGCCCAAGCCCUCCAGGGGCUGGGCUGCUGAGACCAUUGACCUUCCCUGGUCCUCUUGACUUUCUGUCCCCUUGGCCCUUCUUCCUGGGGGUUGGGACGGCCCAGAAGUUUCCCACCAGUAGGCCGCAGCUCAUGCCCCACACCAGGGACCCCUGGCACACUCUCCUGACCCUCCUCUGUGCUUUGCAGACGAACUGUGCCCUAUGGACUGUCCAACUACAGAGGAAGCUUCCGGGGCAAGAGAUCCUUGGGAUUGUCCCCAGGGAGUGUGCAGCCCUCGCUGGGGAUACAUUCACGCUGUGCUUGUGUGGGGAUAGAUGACAAGGCCUGCCUACGCUUCUGCACACAAACCCUGGACGUCAGCAGGUAUGACUCCCUCCAGUAGCGCUCAUUCCCAGGUGCACGUCACUGAGGGAUGAGGCCAAACCAGGGGCUUCCUGAAGGUAGGUUGACUCAGCCCUGGCUGCUGUGGUCCUGGGACCAGGGAAAGAAGAGACUGAGUCCAGAGGCUGUGGGCACUCAGCUUCCAAAGGGCGGGUGGUGUGGCUUCCUCAGCACUCAGUGCCCUGGAGAACCAGGCCCUCAGGCCAGGGCUCAGUUGUCUGUCUUCUGGCCUGAGCAGCACUUUAGACAAAUCAGAAUAAUUUUUCAACAUAAAAGGUGGAAGAAUUGACUGCCUGGCCCUGCAUAGUUUUAGCUUCCUCGCAAACAGCACCCGUGGCCUCAGGUCUCACUGCUCCACUUUCCAAGGGGUGUGAAGGAUUCAUUUGCCUGGGUUACAUUUUCGUUGUCUGGAGGCCCUUGAAUUCGAGACCCUGUGGUCUGCUCUAUCCUCUUAGAGAAGCUCGUGCAUUCAUUCUAAUAGAGUCAGUGAGCAGACCCCAGACUCUACCCAGGUAUUCAUGAAACAGUUGCUCCUGUUAACAGUCUUUACUACCGUUUCUCUUCACUUUGGGCCAAGACUCAACCCAGCUGCACAUAGCAGCCCUUCAACAACCCUGCCCAUAACUAGUGAGGGGUGUUGUGACUUAUGUAAAAGCAGCCUGAACAGGGUGCCCCCAGGGCAGGGCAGGCACCAAAGCAGUCGGAUCCCAGGAUUGCUCUCCAGAAAGCUUGAUGUUAACUCCAUUUCCUUCCCUUUUCUGUGUUUUUGAACAUCUGAUGAGUAGCAGGGCUGAGUGGAUGCUGUACUUGGUUAGGCAUCAGCCCAUGAAGCUCUCAGCCUCCAGAAAUCAUGCCUGAGAUAUGCUCCUUGGGGCACAUGCUAAGGGCUUGUUGGCAGGAAGAGGAGGUCAUCAUUUGACACGAAGAAAUCAGUCACUUGGAAAUGCAGGUUGAUUCAUUCAAACCAGCCUUCUCCCCACAGAAAUUCCAGGACAGCAGAAAACCCAGACGAAGAAGAGAAAGAGAGGGCCAGAGGGGCCCGCGGAGGCCUGCAUCAAAGGUGAAGAUGGGGGUGCGGCCCUUCAUGGAGGAGAGGGUGUGUUGGGGGGUGGCCAGUGGGACCCCAGAACUUGGGGUGAGGGCUCUAUCCACAGACUGCUGCAAACAGUGCAGCCAAUCUAGCAGGUUCCAGAGAAGGGUGAAGGACGAUAAGAAAGAUAAGAUUCAUGGACUCAGAUUUGAAGAUAAAGCUGGGAUCAGGUGGAGUGCUGCUCUCUGAUGGAGAAGCAGGUCUAAAGAAUUACACCAGCAACCUUUAUUUAUCUAUGUCUCAUUAAUCAAAUUAAAGACUCUGCAAGCAUUAUUCUUUGUAUUCAUGAAAGUUACAGAGUUAGCAACAUUAUGCACUUAUUCUACAUUUGCAAUGUGCAAUGUUAGGAGCUUUGUGUAGCUCUCAAGAAAGUCCAUUGUUACUGUUAUGCAGGUAGGUUCAGAAGCAGCAGAGCUGAUGAAACAUUGUGGUUAUCUAGCAAGAAAGUUCCUUUAUUCCCAGGAGCUGAGUGUCUGAGAUCAAGGUCAAGGCUGAUAAGACUCUAGCACAGUGCCUCCUGAUGGAGGACAUUACCAUAGCAGCUAGGCAUCCUGUACCUUUGCAUACAAACUUUCCCAGGCACCAAGUAUGUCAGAGCCAGGAGGUCAUCAGAGAUCCCAAUCUCAGACACUGCUCUUCCAUUCUGUGGCAUCGCUCUAAUUCCAUUCUGUGGCAUCACUCUCCACAAGAGACAACAGUGAUUUUCCGUUGGUGAACUCUGGGGGCGGGCAGUCUGAAGCUGUGGACAGUCAUUGUCCUUCAGGACCUUGGCUGCCUGUAGUCUUAAGAGCCAGCCUCUGCAUCCCUCUCAGCUCCAGGGCAGUGAUGUCCGGUGUGGGUUUUACUGGGCCUGAGAAAGUCAGCUGAUCCUCAGGGAUCCUGCAGGCUGGCCUGCUCAGGCCAGUGUCUCCCUCUGCUUUUGUAGCAGCACGACUCCCCCCACCCCACCUCCAAAAAGCACGUCUCCUUUGCAGCAGCUGAUCCUGGACAAAAGUAAAGUUCAGCUUGGCAGCAGCUCCAGAUUCCCUAGUUCAUUUUAUUAUUAUUUUUUAGCUUGCUUGUCUUUUUUGUGUGAGAAAUCCUGAGGGUUUCCUGCAGCCAGACCGGGUUUAUUUGUCAUUCUAUCAAUCAGAAAUCAUUAUUAAUGACUUGCCUGCACAUCUGCAAUGGAUGGUAAUUUAUGUUCAUAAUGAUAGCCUGGAGGUGGCUUCGGUGCCUACGGGGACUGAUCAAGGGAAGUCAAGCCAUGCUCAGGAUACAGGAGACUCUCUAAAUUGGUGGCAGAUCACUUUCAGGGGCCCGGAGAGGGAUCUGUCAGCAUCCAUAAUAAAAAUGGUGAGGGAGGAGGGGGGCGGAGGUGGUGGGGAGUCCCAGAAGAGUGAGUCAGACCCCAACAGGCUCCCACUUGGCCUCUUUGUUCUUUAUCCUGUCUCUCCCCCCGACCCCAAACCAAAACUUCUCUCUGUGGGGAUGAGUGUGAUUAAAAUCACCCACCGUGAAACCAUGUAUUCAUUCACUCAUGCCUUCAUUCUGCAAAGGUUUGUUGAGCACCUGCUGCAGGAUGGGCACUGUUCUAGAUGUGGGGGACAUAGCAAGGGGACCAAGGAGAGGGACUUCUUUAAGAAACUCAGAUGUAGCAGGGAGUGCAGGUGAGAGGAGGGGUUGGAGAGUCAGCAGGGAUAGGAGGUGUUGGGGCAGCUGCAAGUUAUGGUUGAUGGACAGGCACAUGAUCACAGACCAGGUGACUUGGGAACAGAAGGAAGUGAGGGGUGAGCCACAGGGCUGAGUGAGGGAGCUAUGUUUUGGGCAGAGGGAACAGGAAGUGCAAAGGCCCAACAGACAGCCAAUAAGGGAGCCCUGUAAGAAGCUUUCCUUGGGAAGAAAGGCAGUUACCAAGCCAAAGUCCUGUAUUCUUGCAAGAUUUGAGUUGGUGACGUUUAUAUCCAUUCUCAGAGUAGUAGCUUCUACCAUCCUCAUCUGGUGAUCAGCCCAGAUGGGACCAGGCCAUAGGACCAGGCUACGGGAGGGCUCCUUUGCAGCCAACCUGCGGUACUAUUCCCUCCACACCUUCCCACUCAGAUUGCAGGCUGUGAAAUGCCAAUAAGCUCUGGUGAGGGGGGUGGUUCAUGCCAGGGAACAGCUGGAGACGGGGCAGGAGGAAGUUACCUUUUCCAGCUUGAGAAAGCCCUUAUUAUUUAGUAAUACACCUCUGUUUUCUUUUUCCCCCUUUGCUCACGAUAGGUUGAAGUCCAGGACAGACACAACACGGAGCCCUUAGGUGGCCGCCACGGAUGCUUGCUCUCCGCGUGGACUUCCUCCCUGCCUUCCCUGCCUGCUCACUAUAUCAUCCUGUAAGGAGCCAUUGCUCUCCACAGUUAACAUUUCCACCUCUUUAGGGACAAGGGGUGAAUUUGUCUGGGGCAGAAAACCCACCCAAAGAGUCCCCAGUUGACAAUACACCCUUACUCCAAGAAUGCCCCAAUCCAAGUGACCCCAGUUUCCCUAAUGGGUAAAAUGAUCCCAGAUGUGCCUGGGCCCAGACGCCCUCGGCUCUUGUUUCAGGCAGGAAAUUGUUUUUGGAGAGGCAUGGCAAGCUGGAAAGUCACUCACUGGCUUUUGACAUGACUCCUCUUGGAGAGUAAGUGGAUGCCAGGCAGGCUCUUUGCAAAUGUAAACAUGUGUCCAUCUUGUAGUAGAUGUGCAAGGCCGGUGUGGCCAGGGCAUGUCAACCUCUGAAGGCUGCAGGCUGAAUUAGGAGGCGAGGAGUUGGGGUGAGCCUGGGCCAGAGGUACACAGUAGUUUGAAGCCUGUAGGACUGAGACAGAAAUUUUUAGCCGUGCUUGGUACCCAUCAAAGUAUGUAUCAAGAAAGAAAGAAAGGAAGGAAGGAAGAAAAAAAGGAACUCUGAUGUUUGUGAGAAGAAAAGGAGAAAUUGAUGUCUGAUGGUUUUGAACUCUGGGCUCCACAGAGCUCAUUCUUGGCCCAUAGGCUGGACGUCAUGUCCCUUUUAGACACUAGGCCCAUAGCGGCAGAGUUCUCCAGCUUGGUUUGCAAGAAGCUGGCUGUGGAGUCAGCCCCAGCUCCAGGUUAUUAGGAGGAGUAUUUGCUUUCAUGCAUAAAUGUGGAUCUUUGGAGAGUGGUUUCAAAAUAAGCCAUGAACACAAACUGCAAAUUAUGUAAAUUCCUAUUUAUCUAUAUAAUUGGCAACAACUGGGAAUUGUAACGCCUGGUGGUUCAAGAUCUCUGCAGCUGCGCCCUCUCUGCUGUGCUGGGCUCACAGUGAGAGAGGGGCUGUGACUUGGCCACGGAAAGCUGUCUACUUGGGCAGGUGGGGAGGGUAUCACUCCCAAUGGGCCGUAGAACAAGGAGAAGCUACCUGUGAGUAGGGGCAAGGGCACCUUCCAGGGAAGUUCAGAUGGCUCAUGGUGGAGUGCUGGCCUUGUCUGGACACGAGACUCUGGGGGAGCCUCCAUCUAUCCCUUAUUCUAGGAGUAAGGUGCGUAUCCAUCAUGAGAGAGUGCAGGAGACCAACUUACUGGAGGAAUUCUGUACAGUUUAAGAGAAACGAUUAUUUAUUGGGGAACUAUUCUCUCCUCCAGCUCUUUUAUGGGAUCUGUUAAAAGUAAAGUCACUGUACAUAUAUAGAUUUUCAAUUGUGUUCUGAAUCCAAACUCAUAUUCCUUAGAGCUUGAAUUACGUUUUUAAGUGUGCAUGUGCUGUCUGGCACUGUACAAGAUGGUAUCUGGGAGAGGAAUUCACUCAUUGUACCAACACUCAGUAAAUACUGUCAAAUGCAUAAUAAAAAACCUAAAAGUUUGCUCUGAU
This 5460-nucleotide long non-coding RNA is filed under the name Marmota monax (woodchuck). Lineage: Eukaryota; Metazoa; Chordata; Mammalia; Rodentia; Sciuridae. The record is from RNAcentral.